ACAAGCGGUGGAUGAUGUGGUUUAAUUCGAUGCAACGCGAAAACCUUACCCACCUUUGACAUGUACGGAAUCCUUUAGAGAUAGAGGAGUGCUCGAAAGAGAGCCGUAACACAGGUGCUGCAUGGCUGUCGUCAGCUCGUGUCGUGAGAUGUUGGGCUAAGUCCCGCAACGAGCGCAACCCUUGUCACUAGUUGCCAUCAUUUGGUUGGGCACUCUAGUGAGACUGCCGGUGACAAACCGGAGGAAGGUGGGGAUGACGUCAAGUCCUCAUGGCCCUUAUGGGUAGGGCUUCACACGUCAUACAAUGGUCGGUACAGAGGGUUGCCAAGCCGCGAGGGGGAGCUAAUCCCACAAAGCCGAUCGUAGUCCGGAUCGCAGUCUGCAACUCGACUGCGUGAAGUCGGAAUCGCUAGUAAUCGUGGAUCAGCAUGUCACGGUGAAUACGUUCCCGGGUCUU
RNAcentral lists this ribosomal RNA (457 nucleotides) under uncultured Lampropedia sp. Its description in RNAcentral is "bacterial SSU rRNA". It matches the Rfam family "Bacterial small subunit ribosomal RNA", at positions 925 to 1382 of the family's 1533-position model. The record is from RNAcentral. Lineage: Bacteria; Pseudomonadati; Pseudomonadota; Betaproteobacteria; Burkholderiales; Comamonadaceae.